GAUGAACGCUGGCGGCGUGCUUAACACAUGCAAGUCGAACGAUGAAGCCCAGCUUGCUGGGCGGAUUAGUGGCGAACGGGUUAGUAACACGUGAGUAACCUGCCCUUGACUCUGGGAUAAGCCCGGGAAACUGGGUCUAAUACCGGAUAGGAGCGCCUGUCGCAUGACGGGUGCUGGAAAGAUCUUUCGGUCAUGGAUGGACUCGCGGCCUAUCAGCUUGUUGGUGAGGUAACGGCUCACCAAGGCGACGACGGGUAGCCGGCCUGAGAGGGUGACCGGCCACACUGGGACUGAGACACGGCCCAGACCCCUACGGGAGGCAGCAGUGGGGAAUAUUGCACAAUGGGCGAAAGCCUGAUGCAGCGACGCCGCGUGAGGGAUGACGGCCUUCGGGUUGUAAACCUCUUUCAGCAGGGAAGAAGCGAAAGUGACGGUACCUGCAGAAGAAGCACCGGCUAACUACGU
RNAcentral lists this ribosomal RNA (465 nucleotides) under uncultured bacterium. RNAcentral describes it as "partial 16S ribosomal RNA". It matches the Rfam family "Bacterial small subunit ribosomal RNA", at positions 28 to 506 of the family's 1533-position model. The record is from RNAcentral.